GUCCUUCCCCCAUCCUCGGUCGCCAGCGCUUCUCCGGCAGCCUCGUCCUGAAAUCGUGCGAUUGUGAGCUAGAAGCCUUCUGGGUCACUCAUAAACCAAAGAGAAAAUAAGGCAGCACAUAUUUCCCAUAGAAAUGUGGAAUGUAAGAAAGGCACAUAAAGCAAUCCAAGUUGCCUGCAGAUAUCCACAGCCUACUUCAGUCUCAGUAAUGCUCUUUUAACCUGGUGCAUCAGUUUAAGGGAAGACAUGAGAUCAUGGGUUUAAGUGAGGCUUCAUCAUGCCAAGACAACGUGAUCAGUUAUUCCCAACCUAUAUAACUCACAUACACUGGAGGAAAUAUCUUCAUGGAAUUAAAACCACAUGGAGUAACAUUUCACGUAAGCAGAAUUCAGGAAUGAUUUCAGUAAUUCCAUCCCAAACACACACAGGCAAAGGGAGUGAAGAUUUCUUCAGCAACAUGGUGGCAGAAAGAUCAUGAAAAGAUCUAGGCCAGUCCAAGCUCACUGCAGUUAAAUCUUCAGUCUCCAGCACUGCACUUGGGAAAGCGUCAAGGAGUUGAAUGUAUAUGUAAUUGGAGUGCCAGAAGAAGAGAACUGAGAGAGAGGGGCAGAACAGCUCAUGAGGGGGAAAACCCACUACAUACAAACAAGAAUACUGCAGACUCCUCAUCAGAAUCUAUGCUACCUGUAAAGGCUUGUAAAAGCACAGAGCUGCUCUCACCAUGCAGCCAAAGAAGAAAUGAGGAUAUCGGUCCUAUAACUGCAAGGAACUGAAUGCUGCCAACCACCUGAACGGACUUGGGCUACUGAGAAGAAGCUAUUCUAGCAAAGCUGGAGGAAUUCCACCAGACUGACAGAACAACACAAAUAAGUCCAUGCCUGACGCACAGCAGGGGCUCAAGGCAAGUUUGUGGACUCGAAGCCCUGUUAGAAUGGAUGGAAUUUGGUCUUAUGAAGC
This 957-nucleotide long non-coding RNA is filed under the name Homo sapiens (human). RNAcentral's name for it is "HSALNT0300001". Lineage: Eukaryota; Metazoa; Chordata; Mammalia; Primates; Hominidae. The record is from RNAcentral.